Molecule: non-coding RNA, 69 nt
Organism: Podarcis lilfordi (Lilford's wall lizard)
Lineage: Eukaryota; Metazoa; Chordata; Lepidosauria; Squamata; Lacertidae
Source: the annotation of a GenBank genome assembly
GCGUAGAUCAGUCGGUAGAGCACGAGACUCUUAAUCUCAGGGAGGUGGGUUAAAGCCCCACAUUGGGCA